This is an RNA transcript of Cucurbita moschata (crookneck pumpkin), 2931 nucleotides long. It is a transcript of the gene named conserved oligomeric Golgi complex subunit 7-like, with no coding region annotated. The transcript is spliced from 11 exons. NCBI's taxonomy places the organism in Eukaryota, Viridiplantae, Streptophyta, Magnoliopsida, Cucurbitales, Cucurbitaceae. The record is from RefSeq and is a predicted model, not a curated record.
UCUUAGUCUUACAUCGGUGUGUAAGGGAAGAGGAGUUGGCUCAAUUUUGAAGGUUGGUUUUAGGAGGUGUCUGUGAUUUUGGGCUCCUUCUUCCGAUCCCGAAUCAGCUGCCAAUUCCAUGAAUCUUUGAAUCGGGAAGACGUCUGAGUAGCCAUGAAUCUGGAUUUAGGUCCGUUUUCCAGUGAGAGUUUCGACCCGAAGAAAUGGAUCAACUCGGCUUGCCAGACUCGCCAUCCACACGAGUCUUUGGACAAACACCUCGUCGAUUUGGAGAUGAAACUUCAAAUGGUGUCCGAGGAGAUCGCUGCCUCACUCGAGGAGCUCAGUGCCAGUGCUCUUCUUCGCGUUCCUCGUGCUACUCGCGAUGUUAUCCGCUUGCGUGACGACGCUGUUUCUAUCCGAUCUGCUGUCUCUGGGAUCCUCCAGAAGCUUAAGAAGGCAGAGGGAUCCUCCGCAGAAUCUAUUGCUGCCCUUGCAAGAGUUGAUACCGUCAAGCAGAGGAUGGAAGCUGCCUUUGAGACAUUACAGGAUGCUGCUGGGUUGGCUCAAUUAAGUUCAACGGUGGAAGAUGUCUUUGCCAGUGGUGAUCUUCCUCGAGCUGCUGAUACAUUGGCCAACAUGAGACAUUGCUUGUCUGCUGUUGGGGAGGUUGCUGAGUUUGCUAAUGUGAGGAAGCAGCUUGAGGUCUUAGAGGACAGGCUUGAUUCUAUGGUUCAACCUCGUUUAACAGAUGCACUAACAAAUAGAAAGGUUGAUGUUGCUCAAGAUUUGAGGGGAAUUCUGCUUCGAAUUGGAAGAUUCAAAUCUCUAGAGCAGAACUAUACGAAAGUUCACUUGAAGCCUAUGAAGCAACUUUGGGAAGAUUUUGACUCAAAGCAACGAGCACAUAAACUUGCUAAUGAAAAGAGUGAAUUUGAAAGACCGACAACUAAUAAUGAUUUGCAAUCAAGUUUUCCAUCAGUUUCAUUCACCAGUUGGUUGCCAAGUUUCUAUGAUGAAUUGCUACUUUAUCUCGAACAAGAAUGGAAAUGGUGUAUGAUUGCAUUUUCCGACGAUUACAAAAACCUUGUCCCAAAGCUUUUGAUUGAGAUAAUGGCAGUUGUGGGGUCAAGUUUUAUUUCCCGCAUCAAUCUUGCAACUGCAGAUAUUGUUCCUGGAACAUUGGGGAAAGGAAUAUUAGAUGUUUUAUCUGGAGAUAUGCCAAAGGGUGUCAAGAUUCAAACAAAGCAUCUACAUGCACUUAUUGAUCUACAUAAUAUGACCGGAACCUUUGCUAGGAAUAUUCAACAUCUUUUCUCAGAAUCAGAUCUGAAUAUUUUAACAAACACGCUGAAGGCUGUAUAUUUUCCUUUCGAAGCGUUUAAACAAAGGUACGGACAAAUGGAGCGUGCUAUCCUUUCAUCUGAAAUUGCAGAGGUAGAUCUUAGAGGAGCUGUCACUCGUGGUGUGGGAGCCCAAGGGAUUGAGCUUAGUGAAACAGUACGCAGAAUGGAGGAGUCUAUCCCACAAGUUAUUUUGUUUCUUGAAGAAGCUGUUGAGAGGUGCAUUAGCUUUACGGGUGGUUCUGAAGCUGAUGAAAUACUUUUGGCUCUUGAUGAUGUGAUGUUACAGUAUAUUUCUUCACUCCAGGAAACUCUAAAAUCCCUGAGAGUUGUCUGUGGAAUAGAUCAGGGUAGUGAUGGUGUUGGGUUAAAGAAGGAAACCGCCCAGGAAAAGAAGGAUGGAACACGCAAAGUUGACUUGAUGUCAAACGAGGAAGAGUGGUCCAUCGUCCAGGGGACCCUACAGAUACUUACUGUGGCUGAUUGUUUGACUAGCAGGUCUUCUGUAUUUGAAGCUUCUUUGAGAGCUACUCUUGCAAGACUGAGCACAACCUUAUCUGUUUCGGUCUUCGGUUCGAGUUUGGACCAAAAUCAGUCUCACAUAGUCAGUGAUCACAGCAAUAGGGAAGUGACUAUGGUUGGCAGGGCUGUCUUGGACAUGGCAGUUGUUCGGCUUGUUGAGUUUCCCGAGAAGGCAAAAAAGCUCUUCAACCUCUUAGAUCAGUCAAAAGAUCCACGUUUCCAUGCUCUUCCACUCGCAUCUCAGAGAGUUGCAGCAUUUGCGGACAAGGUUAAUGAACUUGUAUAUGAUGUUCUAAUAUCCAAAGUUCGACAACGCCUAAGCGAUGUGUCUCGUUUGGCAAUAUGGUCUUCGGUUGAGGAACCUAGUGCCUUUCCGCUUCCAAUCUUCAGUUCCUACCCCCAGUCUUACGUUACCAGUGUUGGUGAAUAUCUUCUCACUUUACCCCAACAGCUGGAGCCACUUGCUGAGGGUAUCUCUAAUAGCAAUGCCAACAAUGACGAGGCUCAAUUUUUCGCUGCAGAAUGGAUGUGCAAGGUUGCUGAGGGUACCGCUGCGCUUUACACAGAGCAACUGCGCGGCAUACAAUAUGUUACCGAUCGUGGGGCGCAACAGUUGUCUGUCGAUGUCGAGUAUCUGACUAACGUGCUCUCUGCCCUAUCAAUGCAGAUUCCUCCCGCACUUGCAACAUUCCUAACUUGCUUUUCAACUCCAAGAGACCAGCUGAAAGAUCUUCUCAAAUCUGAUUCUGGAAAGGAGCUCGAUCUCCCAACAGCAAACCUUGUAUGUAAGAUGCGGCGUGUCAACUUAGAUUAGCACUUUUUUGACUGAAAUAUCUUUGGCCUUACGAUCAUUAACAUUGAUUAUUGUUAAUAGGUAAUACAAUUAGCUUGCAUUAGACACCAUAUUAGUUUUUCUUAGAUUAGGUAAUUUGUUGGGGUGCUUCCUAACAAGUCGAUAUCUUCAUUUGAACCGGUUUUCAGAAGCUCUCAAAAUAGCCCAUACACACACCUUCAUGAGAUUUCUUCGUUGCUCUGCUUUCUACGUGUCUAUAUUAUAUUAGACAUUAAACUAUAUAAAUUACUCUCU